Molecule: ribosomal RNA, 253 nt
Filed under: uncultured bacterium
Lineage: Bacteria
Description: partial 16S ribosomal RNA
Rfam family: Bacterial small subunit ribosomal RNA
Source: RNAcentral
UACGUAGGGGGCAAGCGUUGUCCGGAAUCAUUGGGCGUAAAGCGCGUGUAGGCGGCUGAGUAAGUCUGCUCUGAAAGCCCGGGGCUCAACCCCGGGAGGCGGGUGGAUACUGCUCAGCUCGAGUCCGGAAGAGGAGUGUGGAAUUCCUGGUGUAGCGGUGAAAUGCGUAGAUAUCAGGAGGAACACCUGUGGUGUAGACAGCUUACUGGACCAUUUCUGACGCUGAGACACGAAAGCGUGGGUAGCAAACAGG